This 375-nucleotide RNase P RNA is filed under the name Bacteroidales bacterium. RNAcentral's name for it is "RNase P RNA component class A". It matches the Rfam family "Bacterial RNase P class A". Rfam says of the family: Ribonuclease P (RNase P) is a ubiquitous endoribonuclease, found in archaea, bacteria and eukarya as well as chloroplasts and mitochondria. Its best characterised activity is the generation of mature 5'-ends of tRNAs by cleaving the 5'-leader elements of precursor-tRNAs. Lineage: Bacteria; Pseudomonadati; Bacteroidota; Bacteroidia; Bacteroidales. The record is from RNAcentral.
ACAUCGGCUGUCGCGGAAGCUGAAAGGCUUACGAGGAAAGUCGGGACAGCGCAGAGCACCAUACUUCCUAACGGGAAGGGGUUUCACCGGAAACGGAAAAACUACAGAGAGUGCCACAGAAAAUUACCGUCCCGCCUAUGCGGGAUAAGGGUGAAAACGUGAGGUAAGAGCUCACGCUGCCCGAAGGUGACUUCGGGCAGGGGUAAACCUUAUGGGCUGCAAGGCCAAAUAUGCCGGCGAAAGUCACAUUGUGACCGAAAAGAUUGCUCGUCUGAUGCCGGUGGGUAGGCUGCUAGAGUUGUUUGGCAACAAACAACCGAGAUAAAUGACAGUCGUCCGCUCAGGCGGAAACAGAAUCCCGCUUAUGAUGUCAGU